UGAGUAACACGUAUCCAACCUGCCGUCUACUCUUGGACAGCCUUCUGAAAGGAAGAUUAAUCCAGGAUGGCAUCAUGAGUUCACAUGUCCGCAUGAUUAAAGGUAUUUUCCGGUAGACGAUGGGGAUGCGUUCCAUUAGAUAGUAGGCGGGGUUACGGCCCACCUAGUCAACGAUGGAUAGGGGUUCUGAGAGGAAGGUCCCCCACAUUGGAACUGAGACACGGUCCAA
This 229-nucleotide ribosomal RNA is filed under the name uncultured bacterium. RNAcentral's name for it is "partial 16S ribosomal RNA". It matches the Rfam family "Bacterial small subunit ribosomal RNA", at positions 107 to 334 of the family's 1533-position model. The record is from RNAcentral.